Molecule: ribosomal RNA, 567 nt
Filed under: Filobasidium stepposum
Lineage: Eukaryota; Fungi; Basidiomycota; Tremellomycetes; Filobasidiales; Filobasidiaceae
Description: partial large subunit ribosomal RNA
Rfam family: Eukaryotic large subunit ribosomal RNA
Source: RNAcentral
GAGGAAAAGAAACUAACAAGGAUUCCCCUAGUAACGGCGAGUGAAGCGGGAAGAGCUCAAAUUUGAAAUCUGGUGGCCUCAGGUCAUCCGAGUUGUAAUCUAUAGAAGUGUUUUCCGUGCUGGCUCAUGUACAAGUCCCUUGGAACAGGGCGUCAUAGAGGGUGAGAAUCCCGUCCUUGACAUGAACUACCAGUGCUCUGUGAUACAUUUUCAACGAGUCGAGUUGUUUGGGAAUGCAGCUCAAAAUGGGUGGUAAAUUCCAUCUAAAGCUAAAUAUUGGCGAGAGACCGAUAGCGAACAAGUACCGUGAGGGAAAGAUGAAAAGCACUUUGGAAAGAGAGUUAAACAGUAUGUGAAAUUGUUAAAAGGGAAACGAUUGAAGUCAGUCGUGCUCUUUGGAUUCAGCCGGUUCUGCCGGUGUACUUCCUUUGAGUGGGGUCAACAUCAGUUUUGAUCGCUGGAUAAAGGCUGGAGGAACGUAGCACCCCCGGGUGAACUUAUAGCCUCCUGUCACAUACAGUGGUUGGGACUGAGGAACGCAGCACGCCUUUAUGGCCAGGAUCCGUC